AGAGUGAACGCUGGCGGCAGGCCUAACACAUGCAAGUCGAACGGCAGCACAGGGGAGCUUGCUCCCUGGGUGGCGAGUGGCGGACGGGUGAGGACAACGUCGGAAUCUGCCUUUUUGUGGGGGAUAACGUAGGGAAACUUACGCUAAUACCGCAUACCGACCCCAGGCCGGGAGGUUUGGGGUGAAAGCGGAGGACCUUCGGGCUUCGCGCAGAAAGAUGAGCCGACGUCGGAUUAGCUAGUUGGUGGGUAAAGCCCACCAAGGCGACGAUCCGUAGCUGGUCUGAGAGGAUGAUCAGCCACACUGGAACUGAGACACGGUCCAGACUCCGUA
Molecule: ribosomal RNA, 333 nt
Filed under: uncultured soil bacterium
Lineage: Bacteria
Description: bacterial SSU rRNA
Rfam family: Bacterial small subunit ribosomal RNA
Source: RNAcentral